This 702-nucleotide ribosomal RNA is filed under the name Clostridium botulinum C. RNAcentral's name for it is "bacterial SSU rRNA". It matches the Rfam family "Bacterial small subunit ribosomal RNA", at positions 1 to 716 of the family's 1533-position model. The record is from RNAcentral. Lineage: Bacteria; Bacillati; Bacillota; Clostridia; Eubacteriales; Clostridiaceae.
UUUAAAUUGAGAGUUUGAUCCUGGCUCAGGACGAACGCUGGCGGCGUGCCUAACACAUGCAAGUCGAGCGAUGAAACUUCCUUCGGGGAGUGGAUUAGCGGCGGACGGGUGAGUAACACGUGGGUAACCUGCCUCAAAGAGGGGGAUAGCCUCCCGAAAGUGAGAUUAAUACCGCAUAACAUUAUUUUAUGGCAUCAUAGAAUAAUCAAAGGAGCAAUCCGCUUUGAGAUGGACCCGCGGCGCAUUAGCUAGUUGGUGAGGUAAGGGCUCACCAAGGCGACGAUGCGUAGCCGACCUGAGAGGGUGAUCGGCCACAUUGGAACUGAGACACGGUCCAGACUCCUACGGGAGGCAGCAGUGGGGAAUAUUGCGCAAUGGGGGAAACCCUGACGCAGCAACGCCGCGUGAGUGAUGAAGGUUUUCGGAUCGUAAAACUCUGUCUUUAGGGACGAUAAUGACGGUACCUAAGGAGGAAGCCACGGCUAACUACGUGCCAGCAGCCGCGGUAAUACGUAGGUGGCAAGCGUUGUCCGGAUUUACUGGGCGUAAAGAGUAUGUAGGUGGGUGCUUAAGUCAGAUGUGAAAUUCCCGGGCUUAACCUGGGCGCUGCAUUUGAAACUGGGCAUCUAGAGUGCAGGAGAGGAAAGUGGAAUUCCUAGUGUAGCGGUGAAAUGCGUAGAGAUUAGGAAGAACACCAGUGGC